AUCGAUGGCUCAGGAUGAACGCUAGCGGCAGGCUUAACACAUGCAAGUCGAGGGGCAACGCGAGUAGCAAUACUUGGCGGCGACCGGCGCAAGGGUGCGUAACGCGUGAGCAACAUGCCCGUAUCAGGGGGAUAAUCCAGGGAAACUUGGUCUAAUACCCCAUAGUAAUUUUUGUAAGGCAUCUUAUAAGAUUUAAAGCUUUGGUGGAUACGGAUUGGCUCGCGUGACAUUAGCUGGAUGGUAAGGUAACGGCUUACCAUGGCUAUGAUGUCUAGGGGUUCUGAGAGGAAGGUCCCCCCACACUGGAACUGAGACACGGGUCCAGACUCCUACGGGAGGCAGCAGUGAGGAAUAUUGGACAAUGGAUGGAAAUCUGAUCCAGCCAUGCCGCGUGAAGGAAAGAAGGUCCUAUGGAUUGUAAACUUCUUUUGUAUGGGAGCAAUAAGGCCUACGAGUAGGUUGAUGAGAGUACCAUACGAAUUAAGCACCGGCUAACUCCGUGCCAGCCGCAGC
This 513-nucleotide ribosomal RNA is filed under the name uncultured bacterium. RNAcentral describes it as "bacterial SSU rRNA". It matches the Rfam family "Bacterial small subunit ribosomal RNA", at positions 16 to 518 of the family's 1533-position model. The record is from RNAcentral.